RNAcentral lists this ribosomal RNA (354 nucleotides) under uncultured bacterium. RNAcentral describes it as "partial 16S ribosomal RNA". It matches the Rfam family "Bacterial small subunit ribosomal RNA", at positions 338 to 709 of the family's 1533-position model. The record is from RNAcentral.
CCUACGGGAGGCUGCAGUGGGGAAUAUUGGACAAUGGGGGAAACCCUGAUCCAGCGACGCCGCGUGAGUGAAGAAGUAUUUCGGUACGUAAAGCUCUAUCAGCAGGAAAGAAAAUGACGGUACCUGACUAAUAAGCCCCGGCUAACUACGUGCCAGCAGCCGCGGUAAUACGUAGGGGGCAAGCGUUAUCCGGAUUUACUGGGUGUAAAGGGAGCGUAGACGGCAGCGCAAGUCGGACGUGAAAUGCCGGGGCCCAACCCCGGAACUGCUUUGGAAACUGUGAAUCUGGAGUGCAGGAGAGGUAAGCGGAAUUCCUGGUGUAGCGGUGAAAUGCGUAGAUAUCAGGAGGAACAC